AGUGAACGCUGGCGGUAGGCCUAACACAUGCAAGUCGAACGACCGCACAGUAAGAGCUCGCUCUUACGGGUGGCGAGUGGCGGACGGGUGAGGCAUACAUCGGAAUCUACUUUUACGUGGGGAAUAACGUAGGGAAACUUACGCUAAUACCUCAUACGACCUACGGGAUAAAUCAGUAGAUCUUCAGACCUUUCCCGACUCAUUGAGACGAUGUCGGAUUAGCUAGUUGGCGAGGUAAAGGCCCACCAAGGCGACGAUCCGUAGCUGAUCUGAGAGGAUGAUCAGCCACACUGGAACUGAGACACGGUCCAGACUCCUACGGGAGGCAGCAGUGGGGAAUAUUGGACAAUGGGCGAAAGCCUGAUCCAGCCAUACCGCGUGGGUGAAGAAGGCCUUCGGGUUGUAAAGCUCUGUUGUUGGGAAAGAAAAGCAGCAGGUGAAUACCCCGCUGUUCUGACGGUACCCAAAGAAUAAGCACCGGCUAACUUCGUG
Molecule: ribosomal RNA, 492 nt
Filed under: uncultured bacterium
Lineage: Bacteria
Description: partial 16S ribosomal RNA
Rfam family: Bacterial small subunit ribosomal RNA
Source: RNAcentral